This 74-nucleotide transfer RNA is filed under the name Candidatus Methanophagales archaeon. RNAcentral describes it as "Methanophagales archaeon tRNA-Val". It matches the Rfam family "tRNA". Rfam says of the family: Transfer RNA (tRNA) molecules are approximately 80 nucleotides in length. Lineage: Archaea; Methanobacteriati; Methanobacteriota; Methanomicrobia; Candidatus Methanophagales. The record is from RNAcentral.
GGGCCCGUGGUCUAGUUGGUUAUGACGUCGCCUUUACGAGGCGAAGAUCAUGCGUUCGAAUCGCAUCGGGCCCA